Long non-coding RNA from Seriola dumerili (greater amberjack), 833 nucleotides. RefSeq lists it as uncharacterized. The transcript is spliced from 2 exons. The record is from RefSeq and is a predicted model, not a curated record. Lineage: Eukaryota; Metazoa; Chordata; Actinopteri; Carangiformes; Carangidae.
CAUACCUUUAAAUAUCUCUAGUGAAUGUGAAGUUGAUACCUAAAUCAAAGCCAUGACGCAAAUGCAAUUGUCUCUCUUUAUAGCUAAUGCUAUGUACAUGGGUGGUCAAGAAAUGAAGAAUGUUCUGGAAAGAGACAACAUAACCAUCAAGAAUAAUCUUGAAAAGCUCAUAUUUUACUAUGGAACUACAGAUCAUUGGUGUCCUGUGCAGUAUUAUCUUGACAUCAAGCAGGACUUCCCACAUGGAGACAUCAGACUGUGUGAGAAUGGGUUCCGGCACGCCUUUGUCCUGGAUGCAGGAGGAGAAGUCGCCAAAAUGGUGGUAGAAUGGAUCCAUGGAGACUUGAAGACAUGAGUUCUUUAAUUUUUUCAUGUACUGAUGACCAUGAUGCUCUGCAGUGUCCAGACCUGCAGCAGUGUUCAGUGGCAAAGAUGGAUUUUUGUAUUAGCAGAGAUCAUGGAACUGAAUUUAAAUAGGACAGACUGUAUAUCAAAUAUUAAUUUUAAUAUAUAUUGUAUAAUGAUGUGAUUUGCCUUGCAAUUGGGGUGGACAAAAUGAUGGUGGUGGAACUUAUGUAGAACUUUGACUAUGGAAGUAGUGAAUGCAUUCUAUUAAAACCCUAAAUAGAGUGUUGUGAUCAGCAUCAGUCUCCAAAGAUAAAAUGAGAAACCAGAAAUCUGCUGUAGCACUUCUAAAAAUGGUGUUGUCAUUUUGCACAUUUUUAUUUUAUGGUAUCUUUAUUUCACAUUUUUUUCACAUAUAUAGUAAUGUGGGACAUUAAAUUUAUGCAUUCCAUAGUAUGAUGACUUAAUAAAAUGCCUUUUAUUUUUCA